RNAcentral lists this ribosomal RNA (253 nucleotides) under uncultured bacterium. RNAcentral describes it as "partial 16S ribosomal RNA". It matches the Rfam family "Bacterial small subunit ribosomal RNA", at positions 524 to 776 of the family's 1533-position model. The record is from RNAcentral.
UACGUAGGGUGCAAGCGUUGUCCGGAAUUAUUGGGCGUAAAGAGCUCGUAGGCGGCUUGUCGCGUCGGCUGUGAAAACCUGGGGCUCAACCCCGGGACUGCAGCCGAUACGGGCAAGCUAGAAUUCGGUAGGGGAGACUGGAAUUCCUGGUGUAGCGGUGAAAUGCGCAGAUAUCAGGAGGAACACCGGUGGCGAAGGCGGGUCUCUGGGCCGAAAUUGACGCUGAGGAGCGAAAGCGUGGGGAGCAAACAGG